RNAcentral lists this ribosomal RNA (489 nucleotides) under uncultured bacterium. Its description in RNAcentral is "bacterial SSU rRNA". It matches the Rfam family "Bacterial small subunit ribosomal RNA", at positions 28 to 514 of the family's 1533-position model. The record is from RNAcentral.
GAUGAACGCUGGCGGCGUGCUUAACACAUGCAAGUCGAACGGACUAUUCUAGAAUGAGGCUUCAGCCGAAGGAAGGUUUAGUCUAGUGGCGGACGGGUGAGUAACGCGUGAGCAACCUGCCCUUCAGAGGGGGACAACAGCUGGAAACGGCUGCUAAUACCGCAUAUUGCUCUCGGAUCGCAUGGUCUGGGAGUGAAAGAUUUAUCGCUGAAGGAUGGGCUCGCGUCUGAUUAGCUAGUUGGUGGGGUAACGGCCCACCAAGGCAUCGAUCAGUAGCCGGACUGAGAGGUCGAACGGCCACAUUGGGACUGAGAUACGGCCCAGACUCCUACGGGAGGCAGCAGUGGGGAAUAUUGGGCAAUGGGCGCAAGCCUGACCCAGCAACGCCGCGUGAAGGAAGAAGGCUUUCGGGUUGUAAACUUCUUUGACCAGGGAAGAAACAAAUGACGGUACCUGGAAAACAAGCCACGGCUAACUACGUGCCAGCAG